GAUGAACGCUGGCGGCGUGCCUAAUACAUGCAAGUCGAGCGAACAGAUAAGGAGCUUGCUCCUUUGACGUUAGCGGCGGACGGGUGAGUAACACGUGGGUAACCUACCUAUAAGACUGGAAUAACUCCGGGAAACCGGGGCUAAUGCCGGAUAACAUUUAGAACCGCAUGGUUCUAAAGUGAAAGAUGGUUUUGCUAUCACUUAUAGAUGGACCCGCGCCGUAUUAGCUAGUUGGUAAGGUAACGGCUUACCAAGGCAACGAUACGUAGCCGACCUGAGAGGGUGAUCGGCCACACUGGAACUGAGACACGGUCCAGACUCCUACGGGAGGCAGCAGUAGGGAAUCUUCCGCAAUGGGCGAAAGCCUGACGGAGCAACGCCGCGUGAGUGAUGAAGGUCUUCGGAUCGUAAAACUCUGUUAUUAGGGAAGAACAAAUGUGUAAGUAACUGUGCACGUCUUGACGGUACCUAAACAGAAAACCACGGCUAACUACGU
This 496-nucleotide ribosomal RNA is filed under the name uncultured bacterium. RNAcentral describes it as "partial 16S ribosomal RNA". It matches the Rfam family "Bacterial small subunit ribosomal RNA", at positions 28 to 506 of the family's 1533-position model. The record is from RNAcentral.